ACGUACACUCCUACGGGAGGCAGCAGUGGGGAAUAUUGCACAAUGGGCGCAAGCCUGAUGCAGCCAUGCCGCGUGUAUGAAGAAGGCCUUCGGGUUGUAAAGUACUUUCAGCGGGGAGGAAGGCGAUAAGGUUAAUAACCUUGUCGAUUGACGUUACCCGCAGAAGAAGCACCGGCUAACUCCGUGCCAGCAGCCGCGGUAAUACGGAGGGUGCAAGCGUUAAUCGGAAUUACUGGGCGUAAAGCGCACGCAGGCGGUCUGCCAAGUCGGAUGUGAAAUCCCCGGGCUCAACCUGGGAACUGCAUUCGAAACUGGCAGGCUAGAGUCUUGUAGAGGGGGGUAGAAUUCCAGGUGUAGCGGUGAAAUGCGUAGAGAUCUGGAGGAAUACCGGUGGCGAAGGCGGCCCCCUGGACAAAGACUGACGCUCAGGUGCGAAAGCGUGGGGAGCAAACAGGAUUAGAUACCCUAGUAGUCC
This 475-nucleotide ribosomal RNA is filed under the name uncultured organism. Its description in RNAcentral is "partial 16S ribosomal RNA". It matches the Rfam family "Bacterial small subunit ribosomal RNA", at positions 329 to 796 of the family's 1533-position model. The record is from RNAcentral.